Long non-coding RNA from Populus trichocarpa (black cottonwood), 741 nucleotides. RefSeq lists it as uncharacterized. The transcript is spliced from 2 exons. The record is from RefSeq and is a predicted model, not a curated record. NCBI's taxonomy places the organism in Eukaryota, Viridiplantae, Streptophyta, Magnoliopsida, Malpighiales, Salicaceae.
UAUUCUCUUGGAGGCCGCAACACGAGUCUUCAGAAAUUGUGGCUUUGACAGCUGUAAUUGGAAGGAAGUAAGUGGAUGAUUUUAUUAACCUCCACAUCAUGACUUUAAUUGAUUCGAUCGAUGGCGAAUGCAUGGUUUCUUAAUGCUGAAGACUCUCCUCUCCUCCUCCAUCUGUUAAAUGUGUUUUGUGUAAAAUCUCAUCAUCAUAUUUUGCUCUCUGCCUCUUGCUUGCAUCACUCUCUAUUUUCCUUCUUGAGGGGAGAGCAGAUGUUUAUAUAUGAAAUCUUUCUAUUUAUCUCUGAGCAGCUAAAGUAGUGAAAAAUUGCAAUGGAGAUAUGAAUGAAUCAAAGCACCAGUCUAAGCACGGCUACUUGGUCAAACUAUCUGGCGGCUCACAGAAAAUCUCUGAAAUCCCCCGUUGAUAUGGUUGACAUGUUACUGUAAAGUUCUGGUGUUGCUUGGCUCAAAUCCUAUAGCCAUGCAAAUGCUUUGCCCAUCUUCUAGCCAUGUAAGGAUCAUGGUAAUCCCAACUCUCAACACUACUACUCCUUCCACCAAGUAUACUGCUGGAGUCCCUCCCUACUACAGCUUCCCUGUCAUCUUCAUUUGCUUCCCUUUUAUCCCCUAGAGCCACCGCAGUUUCUCCUGCUCUGUUGAAUUCCUCAACUCCGCCAUCAAUGUAGCUAUAUCCUACACAAACAUAUCCCGACUCGCCCACUUCCAAGACAAUUCUCCUUUCUU